RNAcentral lists this ribosomal RNA (520 nucleotides) under uncultured bacterium. RNAcentral's name for it is "bacterial SSU rRNA". It matches the Rfam family "Bacterial small subunit ribosomal RNA", at positions 8 to 518 of the family's 1533-position model. The record is from RNAcentral.
AGGGUUCGAUUCUGGCUCAGGAUGAACGCUAGCUACAGGCUUAACACAUGCAAGUCGAGGGGCAGCAUGAUUCUAGCUUGCUAGAAUUGAUGGCGACCGGCGCACGGGUGCGUAACACGUAUCCAAUCUACCCAUGGCUCAGGGAUAGCCUUUCGAAAGAAAGAUUAAUACCUGAUGGCCUUACCAAAGGACAUCCUUUAGUAAGUAAAGAUUUAUCGGCGAUGGAUGGGGAUGCGUCCGAUUAGCUAGUUGGCGGGGUAACGGCCCACCAAGGCGACGAUCGGUAGGGUUCUGAGAGGAAGGUCCCCCACACUGGAACUGAGACACGGUCCAGACUCCUACGGGAGGCAGCAGUGAGGAAUAUUGGUCAAUGGGCGAAGGCCUGAACCAGCCAAGUAGCGUGAGGGAUGACGGCCCUACGGGUUGUAAACCUCUUUUGUUCGGGAAUAAAGUCACCCACGCGUGGGUGUUUGUAUGUACCUUACGAAUAAGCAUCGGCUAAUUCCGUGCCAGCAGCUGC